CAGAGGGGGCAAGCGUUGUUCGGAAUUACUGGGCGUAAAGGGCGCGUAGGCGGCCCGCUAAGCCGAACGUGAAAUCCCCGAGCUCAACUCGGGAACUGCGUCCGAUACUGGCGGGCUUGAAUCCGGGAGAGGGAUGCGGAAUUCCAGGUGUAGCGGUGAAAUGCGUAGAUAUCUGGAGGAACACCGGUGGCGAAGGCGGCAUCCUGGACCGGCAUUGACGCUGAGGCGCGAAAGCUAGGGGAGCAAACGGGAUUAGAUACCCCGGUAGUCCUAGCCCUAAACGAUGAAUGCUUGGUGUGGCGGGUAUCGAUCCCUGCCGUGCCGAAGCUAACGCAUUAAGCAUUCCGCCUGGGGAGUACGGUCGCAAGGCUG
RNAcentral lists this ribosomal RNA (372 nucleotides) under uncultured organism. RNAcentral describes it as "bacterial SSU rRNA". It matches the Rfam family "Bacterial small subunit ribosomal RNA", at positions 526 to 896 of the family's 1533-position model. The record is from RNAcentral.